This 265-nucleotide ribosomal RNA is filed under the name uncultured bacterium. RNAcentral's name for it is "partial 16S ribosomal RNA". It matches the Rfam family "Bacterial small subunit ribosomal RNA", at positions 793 to 1055 of the family's 1533-position model. The record is from RNAcentral.
GUCCACGCCGUAAACGAUGAUAACUCGAUGUUGGGGGAGUUGACCCCCUCAGUAUCGCAGCUCACGCAUUAAGUUAUCCGCCUGGGGAGUACGGCCGCAAGGCUAAAACUCAAAGGAAUUGACGGGGGCCCCGCACAAGCGGUGGAGUAUGUGGUUUAAUUCGAAGCAACGCGAAGAACCUUACCUGGGCUUGACAUAGUCUGAAUCCGGUAGAGAUAUCGGCGGCCCGCAAGGGACAGAUAUACAGGUGCUGCAUGGCUGUCGU